This 1406-nucleotide ribosomal RNA is filed under the name uncultured bacterium. RNAcentral describes it as "bacterial SSU rRNA". It matches the Rfam family "Bacterial small subunit ribosomal RNA". The record is from RNAcentral.
AGAGUUUGAUCCUGGCUCAGAACGAACGCUGGCGGCGCGUUUUACGCAUGCAAGUCGAGCGGUUGGGGGGCUUCAGUCCCCCGAGAGCGGCGGACGGGUGAGUAGCACGUGGACAACCUGCCCCCCGGUUCGGGAUAGCCCAGGGAAACCUGGAUCAAUACCGGAUGCGAGGGCGGCCGCACAAGCGGCCGUCGGGAAAGGCGCUUCGGCGCCGCCGGGGGAUGGGUCCGCGUCCCAUUAGCUAGACGGUGGGGUAACGGCCCACCGUGGCGAUGAUGGGUAGCCGGCCUGAGAGGGUGGACGGCCACAUUGGAACUGAGACACGGUCCAGACUCCUACGGGAGGCAGCAGCUAAGAAUCUUCCGCAAUGGGCGAAAGCCUGACGGAGCGACGCCGCGUGAAAGAAGAAGGCCGUGAGGUUGUAAAGUUCCUUUUUCGGGAGGGGGAACGAGGCUUGCCAGGCAAUGGGCGGCCGAUGACGUGAAUCCCAGAAUAAAGCCCCGGCUAACUCCGCACCAGCAGCCGCGGUAACACGUAGGGGGCGAUCGUUGUUUGGAAUCAUUGAGGGUAAAGGGCGUGCAGGUGCCCGCCAAAGUCCGGCGUGAAAGACCCAGGCUCAACCUGGCGGGUGCACCGGAUACUGGGCGGCUCGAGUACAGGAGGGGACGGUGGAAUUCCAGGUGUAGGGGUGAAAUCUGUAGAUAUGAGCAGCAACACCGAUGGCGAAGGCAGCCGUCUGCCCAUGUACUGACGCUGAGGCGCGAAGGUGUGGGGCGCAAACAGGUUCAGAUACCGUGCUAGUCCGUCACAGUAAACGCAUGAGACGGGCAGGCAGGCGUGGGCACCCUCGCUGCCGCAGUCAACGCAAUAAGCUGCACCGCCUGGGGAGUAUGCCCGCAAGGGUGAAACUCAAAGGAAUUGACGGGGCCCCGCACAAGCGGUGGAGCAUGUGUUUUAAUUCGAUGAUACGCGAGAAACCUUUCCAGGGCUUGUCAUGCGCCGGGAGUGCGUCGAAAGGCGCUCGCCCCUCGGGGCCGGCGCACAGGUGGCGCAUGGCUGUUGUCAGCUCGUUCUGUGAAGUGUUGGGUUAAGUCCCGCAACGAGCGCACCCCCUGCCGUCUGUUGCCACCACCUUGGGUGGGCACUCAGGCGGGACCGCCGGUGACAAACCGGAGGAAGGUGGGGACGACGUCAAGUCAUCAUGGUCCUUAUGUCCUGGGCUACACACGUGCUACAAUGGCCGGUACAGAGGGCAGCGAGGCCGCGAGGCCGAGCGAAUCGCCCAAAGCCGGUCCCAGUUCGGAUUGGAGUCUGCAACUCGCCUCCAUGAAGUUGGAAUCGCUAGUAAUCACGCAUCAGCAUGGCGUGGUGAAUUCGUUCCCGGGCCUUGCACACACCGCCCGUCA